Molecule: ribosomal RNA, 460 nt
Filed under: uncultured bacterium
Lineage: Bacteria
Description: partial 16S ribosomal RNA
Rfam family: Bacterial small subunit ribosomal RNA
Source: RNAcentral
CCUACGUGGGGCAGCAGUGAGGAAUAUUGGUCAAUGGGCGCGAGCCUGAACCAGCCAAGCCGCGUGAAGGAUGACUGCCCUACGGGUUGUAAACUUCUUUUAUAAAGGAAUAAAGUGAGGCACGUGUGCCUUUUUGUUUGUACUUUCUGAAUAAGGAUCGGCUAACUCCGUGCCAGCAGCCGCGGUAAUACGGAGGAUCCGAGCGUUAUCCGGAUUUAUUGGGUUUAAAGGGAGCGUAGAUGGGUUGUUAAGUCAGUUGUGAAAGUUUGCGGCUCAACCGUAAAGUUGCAAUUGAUACUGGAGGCCUUGAGUGAAGUUGAGGUAGGCGGAAUUCGUGGUGUAGCGGUGAAAUGCUUAGAUAUCACGAAGAACUCCGAUUGCGAAGGCAGCUUACUAAACUGCCACUGACAUUGAUGCUCGAAAGUGUGGGGAUCAAACAGGAUUAGAUACCCUGGUAGUC